RNAcentral lists this ribosomal RNA (515 nucleotides) under Monosporozyma servazzii. RNAcentral's name for it is "Kazachstania servazzii partial small subunit ribosomal RNA". Lineage: Eukaryota; Fungi; Ascomycota; Saccharomycetes; Saccharomycetales; Saccharomycetaceae. The record is from RNAcentral.
UUAAAUAAGGACAUUACACAUGUGAAUCAAACAUUUAUUAUAUAAGAGUAUAAUAAAUAAGUGGUGAAGAAGUGAGUAAAAAAUAGAAAUAAUGAACUAUAAAUUGUAUUAAAUGUAUAAUAAAUUAAUAUAUUUAAGGAUAUAUUAUAUUAAAGAUUAUGAGAAUAAUUGUUUAUAGUCAAGUCUAUAAUAGUUUAAGGUAGUAGGAUAUUAAGAGGAUAACCUAGCCAACGAUCUAUAAUCAAUAAUGAAAGUUAUAAUGAUCACAUUGAUUAUAUUAUCAUAUCUAUAGAUACAGCAGUGGGGAAUAUUAAACAAUGAUCGAAAGAUUGAUUUAGUUACUUAUUAAGAUGAAUAUUUAAUUGAUAAAAAAUAAAAUCUAUAUAUAAUUAAAAUAAUGAUAUUAAUUACUUUAAUAUUUAAAGUAUUUAUUAAUAUUUAUUAAUUUAACUAUUAAUAAUUAUAUAAUAGUCUUAACAAAUAAUUGUGCCAGCACUUGCGGUUAUACAAUGAAG